This is a long non-coding RNA of Topomyia yanbarensis, 1538 nucleotides long. RefSeq lists it as uncharacterized. NCBI's taxonomy places the organism in Eukaryota, Metazoa, Arthropoda, Insecta, Diptera, Culicidae. The record is from RefSeq and is a predicted model, not a curated record. The transcript is spliced from 3 exons.
ACGUUUACUCUGCUCGAUUCUGAGCAAAGUAAACUCUCGUAGCAUUUGCUCAACUUGGUAUGAAUAAAAGUAUACUUUACUCAGGUUGGACUUUAGCAAGUUCGAAUUUCGAACAUAGCUUUUACUCCGUCAAUAUUCUGCCAUAAAUGGUUGCUCCAAACUGAAUUGAAAAGACUUGAUCUACGCCGUGUUAAAGUUAAGAUAAACCAUUCUUGGUGGAGAACCAGGUUGUUCUCACGCCGCGCCGUUGCUGCAAUUGCAGAUGAUGCUGCUGUGCAGAAACAAAAAAUAUGCCUUCGUUUAUCAGAGAUAACACAAUCCAGUUGCGUAAAAUAAGUAAACCAAGCAGGAUCAAAGGAAAACAGUAUGUAUAAAAUGUAUCGAAAAAGCCUGCUAUCAAAAAAUAAGGUGAAGUGCUAUGUUGACGGCUUGAAAUGGUCCAUGAACUGCACCUGCGGAAGUUUACAGCGAUUUACAUUAGCGAACCAAUUCUCUUCGUGAAUGCUAGGUGACUUCAGCGAAAAGAAAUGUCAGAAUAAGCAACUCUCCUGCUUCCAGUGUAUUUGCCUGUAUCUGAUCCACCAGCCCCGCUAUCAAGAAACCGGGGCCGAGAUCGACAUUCCUACAAAUCCGUGUUUCAAAAUACUGAGCCAAAAAAUAAAAAAAAAAUGUUUAUGCAACGAUUAAAAUAUAGUUCUCGACGCAUUCACGAGCCCAGUUAAAAAUAUAUAGUUUUACGCCAGCAAGCUGAAAGCCAAGGGUCGCGUUUGCUAAUGAAAUGAAGAUGUCGAUUAAAUAGCGCAGUUUUAUUGCAUAGUGUAGUGUUAUUUCAUAGGAGCUACAGAGAAAUCACGUACUGUGCUACCAGAUUGUGUGGAAACAAUCGCCAAACUCACUAUCUCGGAUGACACAAUUGCCAUCAUAUACUUUAACCACACAAAAGGCAUCAGUAAAUCGAGCAGCAGUCAGCGCAAAUUAAACAGCUGGUUUUCAUACGAUCGGAACAUUCACACAGGCAAUGCAUUCAAAAGAAAAAUUUUAGUUACGAAAUUUAUGUCAACCCGUUCGGAGAUUGGUCUACAAAGCAUGGAACAGUUUUUUACUUAAUGAAUAUCGGCCCGGUAUUCCUAUUUAGCAAUGCAGUUUGAACGAAAACGAUCACUUGUGCUACCGAGGGCUCUUCCCUACAACCAAGUGAUAAUGUAAAAGUUACGGAACUAUACGUGCCAUCAGUUUACUGGUAUCAGCCAGGAUAGUGAGAAACCUGAGAGAGAAUUGAAACAGCAGUAUACUGCCCAAGUAACUAAUAAGCAUGCUGAAUGCUUCUUAACGGCUACUUGAUAAGCAUUUAAGUCGUUUUAAAUGCUAUUUAAAAGUCGCUUUUGGUAAAAUAUACGGCUACAUUACUAUGAAAAUGCUUUUUUACUACUGUUGUGCACUCAGAAUGCUGCUUACUGGCAAGAAGUUUUUAAACAGUUUUUCAAAUGCUGAUUAACAACAGUUAUGCAUAACGAAUGCCAGCAUACUGCAAGAAGCAU